GUAGGGAAUCUUCCACAAUGGACGAAAGUCUGAUGGAGCAACGCCGCGUGAGUGAAGAAGGUCUUCGGAUCGUAAAACUCUGUUGUUAGAGAAGAACGUGCAUGAUAGUAACUGAUCAUGUAAUGACGGUAUCUAACCAGAAAGCCACGGCUAACUACGUGCCAGCAGCCGCGGUAAUACGUAGGUGGCAAGCGUUGUCCGGAUUUAUUGGGCGUAAAGGGAACGCAGGCGGUUUUUUAUGUCUGAUGUGAAAGCCUUCGGCUUAACCGAAGAAUAGCAUUGGAAACUGGAAGACUUGAGUGCAGAAGAGGAGAGUGGAAUUCCAUGUGUAGCGGUGAAAUGCGUAGAUAUAUGGAGGAACACCAGUGGCGAAAGCGGCUCUCUGGUCUGUAACUGACGCUGAGGUUCGAAAGCGUGGGUAGCAAACAGGAUUAGAAACCCUUGUAGUCC
This 450-nucleotide ribosomal RNA is filed under the name uncultured bacterium. RNAcentral describes it as "partial 16S ribosomal RNA". It matches the Rfam family "Bacterial small subunit ribosomal RNA", at positions 354 to 796 of the family's 1533-position model. The record is from RNAcentral.